This 299-nucleotide unclassified non-coding RNA is filed under the name Hevea brasiliensis (rubber tree). The record is from RNAcentral. Lineage: Eukaryota; Viridiplantae; Streptophyta; Magnoliopsida; Malpighiales; Euphorbiaceae.
GUGAGGUUGUUUUCGUGGAAAAGAAGAAACCCAACCAUUACUCCAAAAUUCUAAACCCCUGAUAUUAAACUAUUCUUUGUUUUGUGAGAUGACGAAUACGUCUCAGUUUAUGGACAAGCAGAUAAUGGAUUUGAUCUCUUCUUCAACUUCAAAUCAAUCGCCGACGUCUUCUUCCCCUAAGCAAACCACCACCAUCACCGCCAGCAGAGAUUUUAUUGAUCUGAUGAAUCCUCCCGAGGACGACAGUCAACACCAGAGUCAUUAUAAUUGCAAUACUAGUUCCAUCAUUGGAAGUGCUG